AUUUUCAAAAGACCCGAGUUCGAAUCUGCUGCCAACGAGCUUUUCACAUUCUCUCUCCGGAGAAAGAUUCACCUUUUUUUUUUCUUUGAGCUUUGGUAUGUUUUUUAGUCUCUCUCAGAAUUUAUUGAGAAUACAAUUUAAAAUUUAGCGAAACAAAACCUGAACCCAAGAAGGACAAGGCCAAAGAUUUCUACAACAAACUGAGCCUGAUGAAGCUAAGCUCGUAGGCGUUCCGCUUAUUUUUUUUUUUUGUUUUGAACUUCGUUCCACUUAUUUUGACGACGACUUGAUCGGUUUGAAUCCAUAUCUGGUAGUCCG
Molecule: long non-coding RNA, 318 nt
Filed under: Brassica rapa (field mustard)
Lineage: Eukaryota; Viridiplantae; Streptophyta; Magnoliopsida; Brassicales; Brassicaceae
Description: long non-coding RNA (BRAP_LNC004570)
Source: RNAcentral